Molecule: ribosomal RNA, 303 nt
Filed under: uncultured bacterium
Lineage: Bacteria
Description: bacterial SSU rRNA
Rfam family: Bacterial small subunit ribosomal RNA
Source: RNAcentral
UGGGGAAUAUUGCACAAUGGGGGAAACCCUGAUGCAGCGACGCCGCGUGAGCGAUGAAGUAUUUCGGUAUGUAAAGCUCUAUCAGCAGGGAAGAAAAUGACGGUACCUGACUAAGAAGCCCCGGCUAACUACGUGCCAGCAGCCGCGGUAAUACGUAGGGGGCAAGCGUUAUCCGGAUUUACUGGGUGUAAAGGGAGCGUAGACGGCGGUGCAAGCCAGAUGUGAAAGCCCGGGGCUCAACCCCGGGACUGCAUUUGGAACUGUGCUGCUAGAGUGUCGGAGAGGCAGGCGGAAUUCCUAGUG